UACGGAGGGUGCAAGCGUUAUCCGGAUUUACUGGGUUUAAAGGGUGCGUAGGCGGGCCUUUAAGUCAGUGGUGAAAGCUCCGAGCUUAACUCGGAAACUGCCAUUGAUACUAUUGGUCUUGAAUUCGGUCGAGGUUGGCGGAAUGUGUCGUGUAGCGGUGAAAUGCUUAGAUAUGACACAGAGCACCGAUUGCGAAGGCAGCUAGCUAGACCGACAUUGACGCUGAGGCACGAAAGCGUGGGGAGCAAACAGG
This 253-nucleotide ribosomal RNA is filed under the name uncultured bacterium. Its description in RNAcentral is "partial 16S ribosomal RNA". It matches the Rfam family "Bacterial small subunit ribosomal RNA", at positions 524 to 776 of the family's 1533-position model. The record is from RNAcentral.